Molecule: transfer RNA, 72 nt
Filed under: Nippostrongylus brasiliensis
Lineage: Eukaryota; Metazoa; Nematoda; Chromadorea; Rhabditida; Heligmosomidae
Rfam family: tRNA
About the family: Transfer RNA (tRNA) molecules are approximately 80 nucleotides in length. Their secondary structure includes four short double-helical elements and three loops (D, anti-codon, and T loops). Further hydrogen bonds mediate the characteristic L-shaped molecular structure. tRNAs have two regions of fundamental functional importance: the anti-codon, which is responsible for specific mRNA codon recognition, and the 3' end, to which the tRNAs corresponding amino acid is attached (by aminoacyl-tRNA synthetases). tRNAs cope with the degeneracy of the genetic code in two manners: having more than one tRNA (with a specific anti-codon) for a particular amino acid; and 'wobble' base-pairing, i.e. permitting non-standard base-pairing at the 3rd anti-codon position.
Source: Rfam by way of RNAcentral
ACAUCGGUAGCACAGUGGUUAGUGCAGUCUGCCGAAUCCAGAAAGACGCGGGUUCAAUUUCCGUCCGAUGUC